UUAACUGGGCGUUAAGUUGCAGGGUAUAGACCCGAAACCCGGUGAUCUAGCCAUGGGCAGGUUGAAGGUUGGGUAACACUAACUGGAGGACCGAACCGACUAAUGUUGAAAAAUUAGCGGAUGACUUGUGGCUGGGGGUGAAAGGCCAAUCAAACCGGGAGAUAGCUGGUUCUCCCCGAAAGCUAUUUAGGUAGCGCCUCGUGAAUUCAUCUUCGGGGGUAGAGCACUGUUUCGGCUAGGGGGUCAUCCCGACUUACCAACCCGAUGCAAACU
RNAcentral lists this ribosomal RNA (273 nucleotides) under Klebsiella pneumoniae. RNAcentral describes it as "partial 23S ribosomal RNA". It matches the Rfam family "Bacterial large subunit ribosomal RNA", at positions 684 to 955 of the family's 2925-position model. Lineage: Bacteria; Pseudomonadati; Pseudomonadota; Gammaproteobacteria; Enterobacterales; Enterobacteriaceae. The record is from RNAcentral.